This 581-nucleotide ribosomal RNA is filed under the name proteobacterium MS-F-69. RNAcentral's name for it is "bacterial SSU rRNA". It matches the Rfam family "Bacterial small subunit ribosomal RNA", at positions 107 to 688 of the family's 1533-position model. The record is from RNAcentral. Lineage: Bacteria; Pseudomonadati; Pseudomonadota.
UGAGUAACGCGUAGGAAUCUACCCAUCUGUGGGGGAUACCAGUUGGAAACGACUGUUAAUACCGCAUAAUAUCUGCGGAUUAAAGGUGGCCUUUGUGCUGCCGCAGAUGGAUGAGCCUGCGUUAGAUUAGCUUGUUGGUGGGGUAAAGGCCUACCAAGGCUACGAUCUAUAGCUGAUUUGAGAGGAUGAUCAGCCACAUUGGGACUGAGACACGGCCCAAACUCCUACGGGAGGCAGCAGUGGGGAAUAUUGGACAAUGGGCGAAAGCCUGAUCCAGCAAUGCCAUGUGUGUGAAGAAGGCUCUAGGGUUGUAAAGCACUUUAGUUGGGGAGGAAAGCUUAUGAGUUAAUAGCUCAUGAGAAGGACGUUACCCAAAGAAUAAGGACCGGCUAACUCCGUGCCAGCAGCCGCGGUAAUACGGGGGGUCCGAGCGUUAAUCGGAAUUACUGGGCGUAAAGGGUCUGUAGGUGGUUUGUUAAGUCAGAUGUGAAAGCCCAGGGCUCAACCUUGGAACUGCAUUUGAUACUGGCAAACUAGAGUAUGGUAGAGGAAUGGGGAAUUUCUGGUGUAGCGGUGAAAUG